Molecule: long non-coding RNA, 2436 nt
Organism: Acipenser ruthenus (sterlet)
Lineage: Eukaryota; Metazoa; Chordata; Actinopteri; Acipenseriformes; Acipenseridae
Exons: 2
Source: RefSeq, a predicted model, not a curated record
AAACCGAAGAAAUAUUUUUUUUUUUUUCCUCGAUUUGGAUCGGCAGCUCUAAGAUUACUGUGGCGCGCCCUGGUCAGGGAGAUACGCGCUGUCAGCUCUCAGGACAGCACUUAUCUAAUGCCAAAGAAAUGGAUUUCGGAUCUGGGAACCAAUCUCACGCAAGAGGAAUUAUUUUCUUUUGUUUUUGGAUAACCAAGGACUGUGGCUUCUGUAGGUACAACAUUUAGCACAUGGAACAUUUUGUUUUGUCAAAAUGUUAUAGGCUGCAAAUGGAGAUGCCUUAGUGUCCGAAUGACUUGGAAUAGAGGAUUCAAGAACAACGGGAUGUCUGAUCCUGCACUCUUUCUCGGAAAAGGAUUGCUGUCCUUUGAUAUCCAUAUACAUGCAUUUCUAUAAAGACACAGAAGCUGGCAAGACCUGAAUAAUGAUUGUACCUUAUUAAUAAUGGACGCCAAAGUGAAUUCUAUUAUCCAGUUUCCCGGGAUUUUACUUAAAGGCUUUUGGCUUGCUUAUUUGGAAAAUCAAAACUGACCGAUAUAAAAAUGGAUUCAAAUCGGUUGUAGAUAGUUGAUUAAAAUGAGUUUGUUACUAGUUUCUUCUAUAUACUCUGUUAACCAUAUUAAACACUUUAAUCUUUUUUUGUUUUGUUUUGUAAUGUAAUAGACAGGGUGGCAUCCCUGUGUCGCUGCGUCAGUACAAAAUAUUGACAUAAUUCUGCAUAUCGACAAAAAUCACAAUAUUGACAAAAUAGGGAAGUUAAGAUUGCGCAUUAUUUAUUUAUCUAUCUAUCUAUCUAUCUAUUUAUUUAUUUAUUUAUUUAUUUAUUUAUUUAUUUAUUUAUUUAUUUAUUUUAGUAAGUCAAGGCUAAAGGACGUUUAGUUCAACAUCAAACACCUACGAUUUGUAGUAUAUUGAUGUGCAACUGUUGUAAAUUCAUGUGCAGCUAUGCGACAAUGGAAGGAACUGUUUUUCAUUUAUACUAUGUUCAUAUCUGUUUCAAUGGGCUGCAGCUGAAAAACAUAAACCAAUAGGCAUUACCAGCAUAAAAAAGCUGCGUUAUGUAGGUCAAUCUGCUAACAUAAUGUCAUUUCACGAGGGUAAAACCCUCGAUUAACAACCGAUAAUGUAAACCGACUUGAACACAAAGGACCACCAAGGUAUAAUGCCUUCUUGAGGGAAGGUAAUGGAUUUACAAUGGCUGAGUGGUUCAACCUUCUAAUAUCAUUUUACUGAAUUAUAUAUAGCAAAUAAUUAAUACAUCCUAAAUGAUAUUAGAUACAAAAACUGCAAUUGAUUUAUUUUAAAUAUGGUAUUAUUUUUCAAUACAAGCAAAUGUGGGCUACAGACACAAUGACUAUUUCUGACAAUUCACAUUUAAUUAAAUAGAGCAAUAUUCACACACACACAUACACACAUACACACACACACACACACACACACACACGCACACACACACACACUCACACACACACACACAAACACACACACAAACACACACACAUUUAUGUCUGUAUGCAUACAUACCAAAAUACACGAUAUUACACGAUAUUACACGAUAUUACACUAUAACAACGGAAUAGAAUUAUGGCUAAAAAUAAAGAAUAUGAAAUAUACAUGCUUAAGAACAUUUCGUGUACUUUCUCGUAAUCAUUUCAAACCGUUUUAUAACAGUGAUAGGUGUCAUUUGGUUCACCGUUUCAUCCAAUACGAAUAACCUGAACAAAAGCGCAAAAGCUGUAAAUCUUUAACAAAUUGAACACUGUUAGCUUUAGUCAUGCAGUUCCACACAUAUCAUUAGCCCGUAUAAUUCUUUCUUCUGGCUAUGUUGGUAGCAUUUGGUGCUGACUUUAAGGUAUUUCAAUUGUUUUUGUAAUAUUGUGCUCCCUGUAUUGUAAUGUCCUAUUCGACAGUCUUAGUUUUAGUUUUGUUUAUUGUGUUUAAGAGGUAUCUACUUUCUUAGUGUAUAAGAUAUGAACCCUUCUAGACUAAGAACGCGGUUUCUUUUUUAAGCUGUCGUGCAAGUUAAUUUUACCAGUAAAAUGGCCGGAUGGUUGUUUUGUUUUUCUUCACUUAUGAUUUCUUCGUGAUUGUUUUUAAUGAUAAAAAACGCAAUUGAUCCCUGCACGUUUUAAUGCAUUGAACAUGGACAGCCUUUCUCUUUCUCUCUGUUAGAUGUAAACAUUCUCUGGGUUAUUGAAAUGUCAAUUUAGUAAUGCUUAUGUAAUAUACUAAACAUGAUAUGUUUCAAAUAUGUUUUUCUUUACUCGUUUUCGUUUCAUUUUUCAUUUUCAAACCACAUUGUUUACACGAUGUUUAAAUUGUAAAACCCCAUCUUAGUAUCUUCUUAAAAUGUUGAACAUUUUGCAAAAGUUUAGCUUAUUGAUUGUUUUGAUUCUUUGAUGAAUUAAAUAAAAGCCUCGCUGAGUAUUUAUAGAA